AUCCUGAGUACGACGGAGCACGUGAAAUUCCGUCGGAAUCUGGGAGGACCAUCUCCUAAGGCUAAAUACUCUCUAGUGACCGAUAGUGAACCAGUACCGUGAGGGAAAGGUGAAAAGCACCCCGGAAGGGGAGUGAAAUAGAACCUGAAACCGUGUGCUUACAAGUAGUCAGAGCCCGUUAAUGGGUGAUGGCGUGCCUUUUGUAGAAUGAACCGGCGAGUUACGAUUUGAUGCAAGGUUAAGCAGUAAAUGUGGAGCCGUAGCGAAAGCGAGUCUGAAUAGGGCGUUUAGUAUUUGGUCGUAGACCCGAAACCAGGUGAUCUACCCUUGGUCAGGUUGAAGUUCAGGUAACACUGAAUGGAGGACCGAACCGACUUACGUUGAAAAGUGAGCGGAUGAACUGAGGGUAGCGGAGAAAUUCCAAUCGAACCUGGAGAUAGCUGGUUCUCUCCGAAAUAGCUUUAGGGCUAGCCUCAAGUGAUGAUUAUUGGAGGUAGAGCACUGUUUGGACGAGGGGCCCCUCUCGGGUUACCGAAUUCAGACAAACUCCGAAUGCCAAUUAAUUUAACUUGGGAGUCAGAACAUGGGUGAUAAGGUCC
Molecule: ribosomal RNA, 599 nt
Filed under: Staphylococcus aureus
Lineage: Bacteria; Bacillati; Bacillota; Bacilli; Caryophanales; Staphylococcaceae
Description: partial 23S ribosomal RNA
Rfam family: Bacterial large subunit ribosomal RNA
Source: RNAcentral